Molecule: unclassified non-coding RNA, 21 nt
Filed under: Chlamydomonas reinhardtii
Lineage: Eukaryota; Viridiplantae; Chlorophyta; Chlorophyceae; Chlamydomonadales; Chlamydomonadaceae
Description: small RNA Cre_0375
Source: RNAcentral
ACUCGCUGGGACUUGCGUCGG